GCGGCGGCCUCUCGGAGAAUGCUCGAGCCCUAACCUCAAAUGGGAGCCAAAAAGAAGAUGAACUUGGGCAGAUCCCGGUCACCUGGACGACUCCAUUGUCAGCUCUUCCGGAGUAGAAACCAGAACUGGAGUCCUCCGAUUAUCCCCACCUCUCCACUGAUCCGAGGCCAGGAGAAGCCCCGGGUAGCAUAUUCAGAGCAGAUCACUGCUCGUGGAUGAGGGGAUCCUUGGAAGAGAAGUU
Molecule: long non-coding RNA, 241 nt
Filed under: Spirodela polyrhiza (greater duckweed)
Lineage: Eukaryota; Viridiplantae; Streptophyta; Magnoliopsida; Alismatales; Araceae
Description: long non-coding RNA (SPOL_LNC001580)
Source: RNAcentral